RNAcentral lists this ribosomal RNA (440 nucleotides) under Pediococcus pentosaceus. RNAcentral describes it as "bacterial SSU rRNA". It matches the Rfam family "Bacterial small subunit ribosomal RNA", at positions 1000 to 1441 of the family's 1533-position model. Lineage: Bacteria; Bacillati; Bacillota; Bacilli; Lactobacillales; Lactobacillaceae. The record is from RNAcentral.
UAAGAGAUUAGAGGUUCCCUUCGGGGACAGAAUGACAGGUGGUGCAUGGUUGUCGUCAGCUCGUGUCGUGAGAUGUUGGGUUAAGUCCCGCAACGAGCGCAACCCUUAUUACUAGUUGCCAGCAUUAAGUUGGGCACUCUAGUGAGACUGCCGGUGACAAACCGGAGGAAGGUGGGGACGACGUCAAAUCAUCAUGCCCCUUAUGACCUGGGCUACACACGUGCUACAAUGGAUGGUACAACGAGUCGCGAGACCGCGAGGUUAAGCUAAUCUCUUAAAACCAUUCUCAGUUCGGACUGUAGGCUGCAACUCGCCUACACGAAGUCGGAAUCGCUAGUAAUCGCGGAUCAGCAUGCCGCGGUGAAUACGUUCCCGGGCCUUGUACACACCGCCCGUCACACCAUGAGAGUUUGUAACACCCAAAGCCGGUGGGGUAACCU